UGUGAUGAUCUUAGAAGUACAGUAUUUAAUGAAAUCUUUUUUAUAAAGUAUUGUACCUGUAGUCUUUGUGCUUUUUGUAGAUCUGAGGCAUGCCAAGUUUCACCUAAUUAGAAGGAGGUCAGUCAUUCCAGAACUGAAAGCGGUUUUCUGGAUUAUCUCCAUAAAAAACAACACUGGAUAACUUAACUGAAUAAAUACACUAGAAAAUUGAAGCAAAGCAGGGCAAGAAUUCUUUCUAUUCUCAAGAAGAUGAAAAAGUGGCCUAAAAAAUACUGCUGAUCAUCUGUGCCAGAUUAGACGAAUAGCCUACAUGCAGGUGAGAAAGCACAGGACAGCUGAAGAAAUUAAGAGUAAUCUUCAGUUACAGGGAGGCUACUUACAGAUGGAUUUCCGCCACAACAUAAGAAGCAGUGGCAGUGGUUGAACAGAACCUUUCUUUACAAUGGAAGUUAAUGUUCUUCAGCUUUGGCUAAUUUUGAAAUCAAGGAGACUCCUUAGCAAAAUAAAAAUCAUAAAAAUGUUUAUUAAACCAACUAAAACAUAUAA
Long non-coding RNA from Pezoporus flaviventris, 546 nucleotides. RefSeq lists it as uncharacterized. The record is from RefSeq and is a predicted model, not a curated record. Lineage: Eukaryota; Metazoa; Chordata; Aves; Psittaciformes; Psittacidae. The transcript is spliced from 3 exons.